Ostrea edulis (European flat oyster) is the source of this 368-nucleotide long non-coding RNA. RefSeq lists it as uncharacterized. NCBI's taxonomy places the organism in Eukaryota, Metazoa, Mollusca, Bivalvia, Ostreida, Ostreidae. The transcript is spliced from 2 exons. The record is from RefSeq and is a predicted model, not a curated record.
AAUCAUAUUGUAGGCAUCUAUGGUGAAGAUCACGAAAUUGCUACCGCAGUAUGUGUGGGAUUAGCUCCCGAUAAUUCCUAUACUGCAGCGAUUCCUCGCAAGUGUUCGAGUGGACGGUCUUGUAUUGACAUCUGUCAGUCUGUUUCUAACAUGGGCAAGGUUUCGGGCGGUGCUUUUCUUCGACCGCGAUGCAUUAACACGUUGCAUAUAUAUGCCAGUCGGGGUCCUAAGAACACACCCAACACCAAAUGGAUCAACACCUGGAAAUACGGAUUUCGCGGCUGUACAGCAACUCACUGUGGGCCAAACUUUUGUUGUUGUUCCAAAUAAAAGAUUUGAACACAUGAGUCAAUGAAAAUUGGAGACAA